UACGUAGGUGACGAGCGUUAUCCGGAUUUAUUGGGCGUAAAGCGCACGCAGGCGGCAGAGAAAGUCUGACGUGAAAUCUCCCGGCUUAACUGGGAGCGGUCGUUGGAAACUACCUGGCUUGAGGCGAUGAGAGGGGUGUGGAAUUCCCGGUGUAGUGGUGGAAUGCGUAGAUAUCGGGGGGAACAUCAGUGGCGAAAGCGGCACCCUGGCAUUAGCCUGACGCUCAUGUGCGAAAGCGUGGGGAGCGAACGGG
Molecule: ribosomal RNA, 253 nt
Filed under: uncultured bacterium
Lineage: Bacteria
Description: partial 16S ribosomal RNA
Rfam family: Bacterial small subunit ribosomal RNA
Source: RNAcentral